AGGGUUAUGCUUAUAGAUGGUUCUAUAAUAGAUUUGCAAAAUCUACUUUUAGGGUUCAAUUCCUUCUUAACCCUU
Molecule: transfer RNA, 75 nt
Filed under: Schizophyllum commune
Lineage: Eukaryota; Fungi; Basidiomycota; Agaricomycetes; Agaricales; Schizophyllaceae
Description: tRNA-Cys
Rfam family: tRNA
About the family: Transfer RNA (tRNA) molecules are approximately 80 nucleotides in length. Their secondary structure includes four short double-helical elements and three loops (D, anti-codon, and T loops).
Source: RNAcentral